RNAcentral lists this ribosomal RNA (208 nucleotides) under uncultured bacterium. RNAcentral describes it as "partial 16S ribosomal RNA". It matches the Rfam family "Bacterial small subunit ribosomal RNA", at positions 568 to 774 of the family's 1533-position model. The record is from RNAcentral.
CACGCAGGUGGCUGAGUCAGUCGAUUGUGAAAGCCCUGGGCUUAACCUGGGAAUUGCAGUCGAUACUACUCGGCUUGAGUAUGGGAGAGGGCAGUGGAAUUCUCGGUGUAGCGGUGAAACGCGUAGAUAUCGAGAGGAACAUCAGUGGCGAAGGCGGCUGCCUGGCCCAAUACUGACACUCAGGUGCGACAGCGUGGGGGAGCAAACA